Molecule: ribosomal RNA, 496 nt
Filed under: uncultured bacterium
Lineage: Bacteria
Description: partial 16S ribosomal RNA
Rfam family: Bacterial small subunit ribosomal RNA
Source: RNAcentral
GAUGAACGCUGGCGGCGUGCCUAAUACAUGCAAGUCGAGCGAACAGACGAGGAGCUUGCUCCUCUGACGUUAGCGGCGGACGGGUGAGUAACACGUGGAUAACCUACCUAUAAGACUGGGAUAACUUCGGGAAACCGGAGCUAAUACCGGAUAAUAUAUUGAACCGCAUGGUUCAAUAGUGAAAGACGGUUUUGCUGUCACUUAUAGAUGGAUCCGCGCCGCAUUAGCUAGUUGGUAAGGUAACGGCUUACCAAGGCGACGAUGCGUAGCCGACCUGAGAGGGUGAACGGCCACACUGGAACUGAGACACGGUCCAGACUCCUACGGGAGGCAGCAGUAGGGAAUCUACCGCAAUGGGCGAAAGACUGACGGAGCAACGCCGCGGGAGUGAUGAAGGUCUUCGGAUCGUAAAACUCUGUUAUUAGGGAAGAACAAAUGUGUAAGUAACUAUGCACGUCUUGACGGUACCGAAUCAGAAAGCCACGGCUAACUACGU